UACGGAGGAUGCGAGCGUUAUCCGGAUUUAUUGGGUUUAAAGGGUGCGUAGGCGGGCUUUUAAGUCAGCGGUAAAAAUCCGGGGCUCAACCCCGUCCGGCCGUUGAAACUGGGGGCCUUGAGUGGGCGAGAAGAAGGCGGAAUGCGUGGUGUAGCGGUGAAAUGCAUAGAUAUCACGCAGAACCCCGAUUGCGAAGGCAGCCUUCCGGCGCCCUACUGACGCUGAGGCACGAAAGUGCGGGGAUCGAACAGG
This 252-nucleotide ribosomal RNA is filed under the name uncultured bacterium. RNAcentral describes it as "partial 16S ribosomal RNA". It matches the Rfam family "Bacterial small subunit ribosomal RNA", at positions 524 to 776 of the family's 1533-position model. The record is from RNAcentral.